RNAcentral lists this ribosomal RNA (327 nucleotides) under Lactiplantibacillus plantarum. RNAcentral describes it as "bacterial SSU rRNA". It matches the Rfam family "Bacterial small subunit ribosomal RNA", at positions 221 to 540 of the family's 1533-position model. The record is from RNAcentral. Lineage: Bacteria; Bacillati; Bacillota; Bacilli; Lactobacillales; Lactobacillaceae.
UUGGAUGGUCCCGCGGCGUAUUAGCUAGAUGGUGGGGUAACGGCUCACCAUGGCAAUGAUACGUAGCCGACCUGAGAGGGCAAUCGGCCACAUUGGGACUGAGACACGGCCCAAACUCCUACGGGAGGCAGCAGUAGGGAAUCUUCCACAAUGGACGAAAGUCUGAUGGAGCAACGCCGCGUGAGUGAAGAAGGGUUUCGGCUCGUAAAACUCUGUUGUUAAAGAAGAACAUAUCUGAGAGUAACUGUUCAGGUAUUGACGGUAUUUAACCAGAAAGCCACGGCUAACUACGUGCCAGCAGCCGCGGUAAUACGUAGGUGGCAAGCG